CCAACGUGUACCGUGUGGGCCACAAGGGCAAGGUGGACCUCAAGUGUGUGGGCGAGGCAGCGGGCGGCUUCUACUACAAGGACCACCUCCCAAGGCUUGGCAAGCCGGCCGAGCUGCAGCGCAGGGUGAGUGCUGACAGCCAGCCCUUCCAGCAUGGGGACAAGGUCAAAUGUCUGCUGGACACCGACGUCCUGCGGGAGAUGCAGGAAGGCCACGGCGGCUGGAACCCCAGGAUGGCGGAGGUGAGCCGCCCCACCGUGGAGCCCUGUGUGCCCUGCCGUCCCAGCCCUCCGUACCCCAGCCCCUUCCUCCCCAAGCGUCCAGCCCGACCCAGCCACAGCUCCAUGACCCGCCACAGUUUAUCGGACAGACGGGCACCGUGCAUCGCAUCACGGACCGCGGGGACGUGCGCGUGCAGUUCAACCACGAGACGCGCUGGACCUUCCACCCCGGGGCGCUCACCAAGGUGCCUGGGGGGCUGGGCUGCGCCUCAUCUGUUUGCUUCUGUAACCCCUUCCACAUACCCACUCGGCCUUGGGGGGUCAGGCAGGACUAGGGUGCCAGCUGCACCCACGA
This 576-nucleotide small RNA is filed under the name Pongo abelii (Sumatran orangutan). Its description in RNAcentral is "retained intron". Lineage: Eukaryota; Metazoa; Chordata; Mammalia; Primates; Hominidae. The record is from RNAcentral.